RNAcentral lists this transfer RNA (67 nucleotides) under Albinaria caerulea. RNAcentral's name for it is "tRNA-Lys". Lineage: Eukaryota; Metazoa; Mollusca; Gastropoda; Stylommatophora; Clausiliidae. The record is from RNAcentral.
UUUUUUAUGGCCGAGAUACAAGCAUCAAAUUUUUAAUUUGAAUUACGAAUUAACAAUUCUUUGCGAU